AGCUUCACACAAGCUAUCGCUGACUGCCAGUGCAUGUUGGAAAUGGGCCACAGGGCUGGGCAUGAUAUGAGCUGCCUGGACAUUGGAGGGGGCUUCCCCAGAAUGAAGGGCUCCAGGCCCAAGUUUGAGGAGUUGAGAACAACAAGCAAUAACAACCAUACGAAGAAUCUAGCAAACUCAGACUUUACUUCUCCUUUUCGUGGUCCUGGAAACAGCUCAGAAUAAAGUGGAUCUGGACCUCUACAGAAGAGAGGGAGCUCCAGAUUCCAGAUAGGAUUUCACUGUGUUGUCCAGGCUGGAGUGCAGUGGCUCAAUCACAGGUCACGGCAGCCUCGACCUCCUGGGGUUCAGGUGAUCCUCCCAUCUCAGCCUCCCGAGUAGCUGGGGCUACAGCACCUGCCAGGAGAACAGGCAGUGGCAGUGUGACCAAGAACCAUGCCUGGUGGAUCCAGACAUGAUCAAAGCCAUCAACCAGGGCAACUAUGGGUGAGAGGCCCUAGAGGCACCCUCAGUGGGCACACAUGCAUACUCAUGCAUGUAUACACGCAUGC
Molecule: small RNA, 551 nt
Filed under: Pan troglodytes (chimpanzee)
Lineage: Eukaryota; Metazoa; Chordata; Mammalia; Primates; Hominidae
Description: processed transcript
Source: RNAcentral